CCUACGGGUGGCAGCAGUGGGGAAUAUUGCCCAAUGGGGGAAACCCUGAUGCAGCGACGCCGCGUGAACGAUGAAGUCUUUCGGUAUGUAAAGCUCUUUGAGCAGGGAAGAAAAUUACGGUACCUGCCUAAAACUACCCGGCUAACUCCGUGCCAUCAGCCGCGUGACUACGGAGGGGGCAAGCGUUAUCCGGGUGUACUGGGUGUAAAGGGGGCGUAGAGGGCGGGGCAAGCCAGAUGUGAAAGCCCGGGGCUCAACCCCGGGACUGCAUUUGUAACUGUGUGGCUGGAGUGUUGGAGAGGCAGGCGGAAUUCCUAGUGUAGCGGUGAAAUGCGUAGAUAUUAGGAGGAACACCAGUGGCGAAGGCGGUCUGCUGGACGAUGACUGACGGUGAGGCUCGAAAGCGUGGGGAGCAAACAGGAUUAGAUACCCCUGUAGUC
This 440-nucleotide ribosomal RNA is filed under the name uncultured bacterium. RNAcentral describes it as "partial 16S ribosomal RNA". It matches the Rfam family "Bacterial small subunit ribosomal RNA", at positions 338 to 795 of the family's 1533-position model. The record is from RNAcentral.